UCCGAGUUGACCCCGGCAGUCUCCCAUGAGUCCCCAACCCGCCGAAGCGGUUGCUGGCAACAUGGAACGAGGGUUGCGCUCGUUGCGGGACUUAACCCAACAUCUCACGACACGAGCUGACGACAACCAUGCACCACCUGUAAACCGGCCACAAGUGGCUGACACAUCUCUGCAUCAUUCCGGUUCAUGUCGAGCCUUGGUAAGGUUCUUCGCGUUGCAUCGAAUUAAUCCGCAUGCUCCGCCGCUUGUGCGGGCCCCCGUCAAUUCCUUUGAGUUUUAGCCUUGCGGCCGUACUCCCCAGGCGGGGCACUUAAUGCGUUAGCUGCGGCACGGAAACCGUCGAUAGGUCCCCACACCUAGUGCCCAACGUUUACGGCGUGGACUAC
This 386-nucleotide unclassified non-coding RNA is filed under the name uncultured Micrococcales bacterium. RNAcentral's name for it is "contains 16S-23S intergenic spacer region". The record is from RNAcentral. Lineage: Bacteria; Bacillati; Actinomycetota; Actinomycetes; Micrococcales.